This 234-nucleotide ribosomal RNA is filed under the name uncultured bacterium. RNAcentral's name for it is "partial 16S ribosomal RNA". It matches the Rfam family "Bacterial small subunit ribosomal RNA", at positions 1 to 252 of the family's 1533-position model. The record is from RNAcentral.
UAGUGAGUUUGAUCCUGGCUCAGGGUGAACGCUGGCGGCGUGCCUAAGACAUGCAAGUCGAACGCAGUAGCUUGCUACUGAGUGGCGCACGGGUGAGUAACACGUAACUGACCUACCCCGUAGUCCCGCACAACGGUCCGAAAGGACCGCUAAUUCGGGAUGUGAACCCGCACCGUGGUGCGUGUUUAAAGAUUCAUCGCUAUGGGAUGGGGUUGCGGCGCAUCAGCUCGUUGG